CCUGAGAGAUGCCAGAACAUGCCUGAGGUGCCGGUGGUCAUGAGGAUGAUUGUGCAAAUGUUUGGCAGGGGCAUCUUGUUUCGAAGAUUUCACGGUGCUAAAGAAGUUAAGCCUUGAAGGCCUGUGGCUUGGAAUGAUGGCACAUGAGGUGGAAAGGAAGUUGACGUGUUCCUCAGACCACAACAAGAGGGGCGAGAUCAUGUGCUCUGAUCAAUCGAGAGACCGGAGGUCCUUAGUCCCUGACUCUUAUGCCAUACCUACCUUUCUCAACGUCAUUCCUUUGAGUUAUUUUUCCCAGAGAAGGACCCCAAAUCUUUCCUUGACAGACCCCAUCCAACUAUCAAUGGCAGUUAUCGUCGGUAAGAGUACAACUCUCGCUCUAAGGACCCUAUGGGAACUUCCCAGCUCUGGGACCUUGGAUAACAUCCUGGACCACACACCCUUCUAGCUCACCUGGCAAGGUUAGAAAGAGGCCAGAAAAUCCUAUGAAAGGCCUUCUGAGUCCUGAAGUCUCCACUGGGAGAGAAGAAAGAGAAAAAAACCUUCUCUGCCAAAGGCAACUGCCUACUCCUUUCCCAUGACCUUGCCCUGUUUGGCCUUCUGGAAGGCGGCAUCUCAAAAAGGACUGUCAUUCUACAGCCACAGGGAUGCCAAGAGCU
Long non-coding RNA from Callithrix jacchus (white-tufted-ear marmoset), 659 nucleotides. RefSeq lists it as uncharacterized. NCBI's taxonomy places the organism in Eukaryota, Metazoa, Chordata, Mammalia, Primates, Cebidae. The record is from RefSeq and is a predicted model, not a curated record.